UGGAAAUAGAGUGAAAUAUGAAAAGUCCAUUCAUCAAGUGGAUGUUUAUAUUCGGCAAUAUGGCUGCCUUCAAGGAGUGCGCGUUCGAAAUACGAAGAAAUACAAACGUAUACUGCUUGUUUUCUAUGGAUUAAUGGAGAUAAUUUGCAAACAGAAAGAAAGAAAGUAACAAAGUGGGCAAUUAUAAAGUAGAAGUAAGCAACAAUAUCGAAGAAACGUCAAUUAUAAAGCCA
Non-coding RNA from Paramuricea clavata, 233 nucleotides. The record is from the annotation of a GenBank genome assembly. NCBI's taxonomy places the organism in Eukaryota, Metazoa, Cnidaria, Anthozoa, Malacalcyonacea, Plexauridae.